Siniperca chuatsi (mandarin fish) is the source of this 267-nucleotide long non-coding RNA. RefSeq lists it as uncharacterized. NCBI's taxonomy places the organism in Eukaryota, Metazoa, Chordata, Actinopteri, Centrarchiformes, Sinipercidae. The transcript has 3 exons. The record is from RefSeq and is a predicted model, not a curated record.
UUUGCCUCAGCAUGCGAAUAAAUUUCACCUGGUCCGAACAUACUGCGUUAAUUCUGUGCCUCUGCUGCCUCACUGGAGUGACAAGCUAACCUUACUCUACAAGAUGUGGAGAUGUCUGCAAACAAAGUUGCAACUGAAGACUACAGCAUGUUAACAGUACUGGACUGGACUGUACUGGAAACAUCUCAUUGUACAACCAACAACAAGGACAUGCCCAAAGAGGUUCACCUAUUUAAACAAGUGAGGAUCGACAGCAGACGGCAUGAU